This 375-nucleotide ribosomal RNA is filed under the name uncultured bacterium. RNAcentral's name for it is "bacterial SSU rRNA". It matches the Rfam family "Bacterial small subunit ribosomal RNA", at positions 524 to 898 of the family's 1533-position model. The record is from RNAcentral.
UACGUAGGGAGCAAGCGUUGUCCGGAAUCAUUGGGCGUAAAGGGCGCGUAGGCGGUUUUUUAAGUCAAAUGUGAAAAUCCAGGGCUUAACUCUGGGACUGCGUUUGAAACUGAAAGACUAGAGAUCAGGAGAGGAAAGUGGAAUUCCUAGUGUAGCGGUGAAAUGCGUAGAUAUUAGGAAGAACAUCGAUGGCGAAGGCAGCUUUCUGGCCUGACACUGACGCUGAGGCGCGAAAGCGUGGGGAGCAAACAGGAUUAGAUACCCUGGUAGUCCACGCCGUAAACGAUGGAUACUAGGUGUAGGGGGUUCGAUUCCCUCUGUGCCGCAGUUAACGCAAUAAGUAUCCCGCCUGGGGAGUACGGUCGCAAGAUUGAA